AGUGAGAUGCCUGAAUAAAGGAUUACUUUGAUAGAGUAAAUCAUGCACAAUUAUGCUCUUACUA
This 64-nucleotide transfer RNA is filed under the name Brachyrhynchus hsiaoi. RNAcentral describes it as "tRNA-Ile". The record is from RNAcentral. Lineage: Eukaryota; Metazoa; Arthropoda; Insecta; Hemiptera; Aradidae.